UACGUAGGCAGCAAGCGUUGUUCGGAGUUACUGGGCGUAAAGGGUGUGUAGGCGGUUCUUUAAGUUUGGGGUGAAAUCUCCCGGCUCAACUGGGAGGGUGCGCCGAAGACUGCAGGGCUUGAGUAUGGGAGAGGUAAGCGGAAUUCCUGGUGUAGCGGUGAAAUGCGUAGAUAUCAGGAGGAACACCUGUGGUGUAGACAGCUUACUGGACCAUAACUGACGCUGAGGCACGAAAGCGUGGGUAGCAAACAGG
RNAcentral lists this ribosomal RNA (253 nucleotides) under uncultured bacterium. RNAcentral describes it as "partial 16S ribosomal RNA". It matches the Rfam family "Bacterial small subunit ribosomal RNA", at positions 524 to 776 of the family's 1533-position model. The record is from RNAcentral.